UACGGAGGGUGCUAGCGUUGUUCGGAAUUACUGGGCGUAAAGCGCGCGUAGGCGGACUGUUAAGUCGGGGGUGAAAUCCCGGGGCGCAACCCCGGAACUGCCUUCGAUACUGGCGGUCUAGAGGUCUGGAGAGGUGAGUGGAAUUUCGAGUGUAGAGGUGAAAUUCGUAGAUAUUCGGAGGGACACCAGUGGCGAAGGCGGCUCACUGGCCAUAUUUUGGCGCUGAGGUGCGAAAGCGUGGGGAGCAAACAGG
This 253-nucleotide ribosomal RNA is filed under the name uncultured bacterium. RNAcentral describes it as "partial 16S ribosomal RNA". It matches the Rfam family "Bacterial small subunit ribosomal RNA", at positions 524 to 776 of the family's 1533-position model. The record is from RNAcentral.